AAUUAAUUUUACUUUAACAAUUGAGGCACUGGUAGACUUCCAUAGUGCUUUAAAAUUGUUACUGUAUCGAUAAAACAUUGUGUUUAACUGAUGCCUACAGAGCAGGGGUUGUCAACCAGGGGUACGUGUACCCCUGGGGGUACUCUGAAAGGUUCCAGGGGGUACGUGAGGGCAAACAGGGAUGGAGCACCACCACCCCACACCACUGCCUCACAGCAACAGGGCUGGGGUGGGGCAAGAGCAGGGCCGCACAGACACUGCACUGCCGCCGCUCCGCCACUUGUCACAACCCUGCUCCGUGUCCAGCUGUUCUCCCCCCUCCUCCCUGCCCCCCAGGGGUACACUUAUUAAAAAAAGUUGAAACCCCCUGCUAAAGAGAGAGGGUCUCACAGGGCACUAAGACGUGCCUGCUCCUUUAAAGGCAGAAGCAGCCUAGCCAGGGAGCCCUGCAGCUAGGCAGAGCACCACAGCUGCAGGUUGCCUGAGCCGCAGGCUAAUGAGGUAAUUAGCACAACCUGCAGGCAGUCAGCUGAAGGAUGGAGGCAGGGUCCUGGGCACAUAUAAACCCAAGGCUGGGGUAGGUAGGGAUUAGUUUUCUGGCAACUGCCAGGGGAAUAAGCUCCUGCAGAUGGGUGAUUGCCUGCUUUGCUACUUACAGGAGCAGUGAGGCACCAGCAGCCCACAAGGUGGCUCAUGAAGUUGGCAUAUGGAGGAGCCAUAUUUGUACCCAUAACUGUGCCUGUUUUGGAGGAAGUGUUAAUUGUUGAAAGUGAAGCUGAGUGAGGAUGAAGUGGAUAUGUUGUGCAACAUGUUGUAAACCUGUGUGUACUAAAUAUUCACCCCCUAGAUGCCUACAGCAUUUCCUGGAACAGAUCAUCUGCAGUUUCACAGUUCACAGAAUACUCAGGCCUACAACAGUUCCACCCCUUGGCAGAUCUUAGCAUUCAGACGUGUACGGACCCCUGAGGAAAGUGUGAAUCAGUACA
Molecule: long non-coding RNA, 986 nt
Organism: Alligator sinensis (Chinese alligator)
Lineage: Eukaryota; Metazoa; Chordata; Crocodylia; Alligatoridae
Exons: 3
Source: RefSeq, a predicted model, not a curated record